This 120-nucleotide ribosomal RNA is filed under the name uncultured gamma proteobacterium HF0200_40H22. The record is from RNAcentral. Lineage: Bacteria; Pseudomonadati; Pseudomonadota; Gammaproteobacteria.
UGCCUGGCGGCCAUAGCGUGUGGGUCCCACCUGAUCCCAUCUCGAACUCAGAAGUGAAAACGCAUAGCGCCGAUGAUAGUGCGGGGUCUCCCCGUGUGAAAGUAGGACACUGCCAGGCAU